Molecule: ribosomal RNA, 2925 nt
Filed under: Escherichia coli
Lineage: Bacteria; Pseudomonadati; Pseudomonadota; Gammaproteobacteria; Enterobacterales; Enterobacteriaceae
Description: bacterial LSU rRNA
Rfam family: Bacterial large subunit ribosomal RNA
Source: RNAcentral
GGGUUGUGAGGUUAAGCGACUAAGCGUACACGGUAGAUGCCCUGGCAGUCAGAGGCGAUGAAGGACGUGCUAAUCUGCGAUAAGCGUCGGUGAGGUGAUAUGAACCGUUAUAACCGGCGAUUUCCGAAUGGGGAAACCCAGUGUGUUUCGACACACUAUCAUUAACUGAAUCCAUAGGUUAAUGAGGCGAACCGGGGGAACUGAAACAUCUAAGUACCCCGAGGAAAAGAAAUCAACCGAGAUUCCCCCAGUAGCGGCGAGCGAACGGGGAGGAGCCCAGAGCCUGAAUCAGUGUGUGUGUUAGUGGAAGCGUCUGGAAAGGCGCGCGAUACAGGGUGACAGCCCCGUACACAAAAAUGCACAUAUUGUGAGCUCGAUGAGUAGGGCGGGACACGUGGUAUCCUGUCUGAAUAUGGGGGGACCAUCCUCCAAGGCUAAAUACUCCUGACUGACCGAUAGUGAACCAGUACCGUGAGGGAAAGGCGAAAAGAACCCCGGCGAGGGGAGUGAAAAAGAACCUGAAACCGUGUACGUACAAGCAGUGGGAGCCUCUUAAUGGGGUGACUGCGUACCUUUUGUAUAAUGGGUCAGCGACUUAUAUUCUGUAGCAAGGUUAACCGAAUAGGGGAGCCGAAGGGAAACCGAGUCUUAACUGGGCGUUAAGUUGCAGGGUAUAGACCCGAAACCCGGUGAUCUAGCCAUGGGCAGGUUGAAGGUUGGGUAACACUAACUGGAGGACCGAACCGACUAAUGUUGAAAAAUUAGCGGAUGACUUGUGGCUGGGGGUGAAAGGCCAAUCAAACCGGGAGAUAGCUGGUUCUCCCCGAAAGCUAUUUAGGUAGCGCCUCGUGAAUUCAUCUCCGGGGGUAGAGCACUGUUUCGGCAAGGGGGUCAUCCCGACUUACCAACCCGAUGCAAACUGCGAAUACCGGAGAAUGUUAUCACGGGAGACACACGGCGGGUGCUAACGUCCGUCGUGAAGAGGGAAACAACCCAGACCGCCAGCUAAGGUCCCAAAGUCAUGGUUAAGUGGGAAACGAUGUGGGAAGGCCCAGACAGCCAGGAUGUUGGCUUAGAAGCAGCCAUCAUUUAAAGAAAGCGUAAUAGCUCACUGGUCGAGUCGGCCUGCGCGGAAGAUGUAACGGGGCUAAACCAUGCACCGAAGCUGCGGCAGCGACACUAUGUGUUGUUGGGUAGGGGAGCGUUCUGUAAGCCUGUGAAGGUGGCCUGUGAGGGUUGCUGGAGGUAUCAGAAGUGCGAAUGCUGACAUAAGUAACGAUAAAGCGGGUGAAAAGCCCGCUCGCCGGAAGACCAAGGGUUCCUGUCCAACGUUAAUCGGGGCAGGGUGAGUCGACCCCUAAGGCGAGGCCGAAAGGCGUAGUCGAUGGGAAACAGGUUAAUAUUCCUGUACUUGGUGUUACUGCGAAGGGGGGACGGAGAAGGCUAUGUUGGCCGGGCGACGGUUGUCCCGGUUUAAGCGUGUAGGCUGGUUUUCCAGGCAAAUCCGGAAAAUCAAGGCUGAGGCGUGAUGACGAGGCACUACGGUGCUGAAGCGACAAAUGCCCUGCUUCCAGGAAAAGCCUCUAAGCAUCAGGUAACAUCAAAUCGUACCCCAAACCGACACAGGUGGUCAGGUAGAGAAUACCAAGGCGCUUGAGAGAACUCGGGUGAAGGAACUAGGCAAAAUGGUGCCGUAACUUCGGGAGAAGGCACGCUGAUAUGUAGGUGAAGCGACUUGCUCGUGGAGCUGAAAUCAGUCGAAGAUACCAGCUGGCUGCAACUGUUUAUUAAAAACACAGCACUGUGCAAACACGAAAGUGGACGUAUACGGUGUGACGCCUGCCCGGUGCCGGAAGGUUAAUUGAUGGGGUUAGCGGUAACGCGAAGCUCUUGAUCGAAGCCCCGGUAAACGGCGGCCGUAACUAUAACGGUCCUAAGGUAGCGAAAUUCCUUGUCGGGUAAGUUCCGACCUGCACGAAUGGCGUAAUGAUGGCCAGGCUGUCUCCACCCGAGACUCAGUGAAAUUGAACUCGCUGUGAAGAUGCAGUGUACCCGCGGCAAGACGGAAAGACCCCGUGAACCUUUACUAUAGCUUGACACUGAACAUUGAGCCUUGAUGUGUAGGAUAGGUGGGAGGCUUUGAAGUGUGGACGCCAGUCUGCAUGGAGCCGACCUUGAAAUACCACCCUUUAAUGUUUGAUGUUCUAACGUGGGCCCCUUACCGGGGUUGCGGACAGUGUCUGGUGGGUAGUUUGACUGGGGCGGUCUCCUCCUAAAGAGUAACGGAGGAGCACGAAGGUUGGCUAAUCCUGGUCGGACAUCAGGAGGUUAGUGCAAUGGCAUAAGCCAGCUUGACUGCGAGCGUGACGGCGCGAGCAGGUGCGAAAGCAGGUCAUAGUGAUCCGGUGGUUCUGAAUGGAAGGGCCAUCGCUCAACGGAUAAAAGGUACUCCGGGGAUAACAGGCUGAUACCGCCCAAGAGUUCAUAUCGACGGCGGUGUUUGGCACCUCGAUGUCGGCUCAUCACAUCCUGGGGCUGAAGUAGGUCCCAAGGGUAUGGCUGUUCGCCAUUUAAAGUGGUACGCGAGCUGGGUUUAGAACGUCGUGAGACAGUUCGGUCCCUAUCUGCCGUGGGCGCUGGAGAACUGAGGGGGGCUGCUCCUAGUACGAGAGGACCGGAGUGGACGCAUCACUGGUGUUCGGGUUGUCAUGCCAAUGGCACUGCCCGGUAGCUAAAUGCGGAAGAGAUAAGUGCUGAAAGCAUCUAAGCACGAAACUUGCCCCGAGAUGAGUUCUCCCUGACUCCUUGAGAGUCCUGAAGGAACGUUGAAGACGACGACGUUGAUAGGCCGGGUGUGUAAGCGCAGCGAUGCGUUGAGCUAACCGGUACUAAUGAACCGUGAGGCUUAACCUUACAACGCCGAAG